Ornithorhynchus anatinus (platypus) is the source of this 146-nucleotide non-coding RNA. Lineage: Eukaryota; Metazoa; Chordata; Mammalia; Monotremata; Ornithorhynchidae. The record is from RefSeq and is marked provisional.
GGCUAGAGGGGAGUCCAAGAUUGGGGGGCUCCACAAGCUCGGGCCCAGUUCCAGCUGCAGAAUGCCUGAAGCCAAGGGGUGGUGCUUGGGAAUGUGGGGCCGGACUGAAUAUACAACACUCUCUCCCUGCUGAAAUCCAAGAAGCC